Molecule: ribosomal RNA, 2305 nt
Filed under: human gut metagenome
Description: bacterial LSU rRNA
Rfam family: Bacterial large subunit ribosomal RNA
Source: RNAcentral
UUUAGUUUUAUUGGGCAUUCGGUGGAUGCCUUGGCAUCAAGAGCUGAUGAAGGACGUUGCGGCCUGCGAUAUGCCUCGGGGAGCUGGCGAGCGAGCGUUAUUAUCCGAGGGUGUCCGAAUGGGGGAACCUAACCUGGGUUGUGCUGGGUUACCAUCAUCUGAACGUGUAUAGGGUGGUGGGGGGAACGCGGGGAAGUGAAACAUCUCAGUACCCGCAGGAAAAGAUAUUCCGUGAGUAGUGGCGAGCGAAAGCGGAGGAGGCUAAACCAGAUGCGUGUGAGAGGCGGCGGCCGUUGCGUGUUUGGUGUUGUGGGGCCAUGCUGGAUCCUUCUGCCGGGGGAUCGCGCCACAAGUUGUUGGGAGUUGAACAGUCUGGGAAGUCUGACCGUAGAGCGUGAGAGUCGUGUAAACGGACCGAUGGCGUGUGGUGUGGGUGUGGUACCCGAGUAGCGCGGGACUCGUGAAAUCUCGUGUGAAUCUGCCAAGACCACUUGGUAAGCCUAAAUACUACUUGAUGACCGAUAGUGCAUAGUACCGUGAGGGAAUGGUGAAAAGUACCCCGGGAGGGGAGUGAAAUAGUACCUGAAACCGUGUGCCUGUAAGCCGUCAGAGCCUUGUGGGGUGAUGGCGUGCCUUUUGAAGAAUGAGCCUGCGAGUUAGUGAUACGUGGCGUGCUUAACCCGUGUGGGGUAUGCGUAGCGAAAGCGAGUCUGAAAGAUGGCGUUUGUCGCGUGUUCUAGACCCGAAGCGGGGUGAUCUACCCAUGGUCAGGUUGAAGCAGAGGUAAGACUGUGUGGAGGACCGAACCCACCAGGGUUGAAAACCUGGGGGAUGAACUGUGGGUAGGGGUGAAAGGCCAAUCAAACUCCGUGAUAGCUGGUUCUCCCCGAAAUGCAUUUAGGUGCAGCGUUGCGUGGUCCCUGGUGGAGGUAGAGCUACUGGAUGGCCGAUGGGCCCUGUGGGUUACUGACGUCAGCCAAACUCCGAAUGCCAUUAGGUGUAGCGUGGCAGUGAGACUGCGGGGGAUAAGCUUCGUAGUCGAGAGGGAAACAGCCCAGAUCAUCAGCUAAGGCCCCUAAGCGUGCGCUAAGUGGGAAAGGAUGUGGAGUCGCGGUGACAACCAGGAGGUUGGCUUAGAAGCAGCCAUCCUUGAAAGAGUGCGUAAUAGCUCACUGGUCAAGUGGUUCUGCGCCGACAAUGUAGCGGGGCUCAAGCGUACCGCCGAAGCUGUGGCAGCAACACGCGAUUCUGGCGCCAGGAACUGGAGUGCUGGUGUGUUGUUGGGUAGGGGAGCGUCCUGCAUGAGGUGAAGCCUGGAGGUGACUUCUGGUGGAUUGUGUGGGAGUGAGAAUGCAGGCAUGAGUAACGAAUCUGCGGUGGGAAUCCGCAGCGCCGAUUGACUAAGGGUUCCAGGGCUAGGUUUAUCCGCCCUGGGUUAGUCGGGUCCUAAGGCGAGGCCGACAGGCGUAGUCGAUGGACAACCAGUUGAUAUUCUGGUACCAGGUUGUGACCGCCCAUGCUGAGGUCAUUGUGCUAACCAAUCUGCCCUCCGCGCUCUGGUCCUUCGGGAUUGGGGUUGUGUGUGGGUCUUGGGGUCCCGGUGAUGGUAGGCAAGCGUGUUAACAGGGGUGACGCAGACAGGUAACUGCAGUGCGCCGAUGGUUGUGCGUAUUUAAGGUUGUGGCCCGCCCUUCAGGUAAAUCCGGGGCAUAAUGGGUGAGGACUGAUGAGGGACACACGCGUGUGUGGACUUGUGGUGAUCCUAUGCUGCCGAGAAAAGCCUCGACGUGAGGGCAUGACCUGCCCGUACCCUAAACCGACUCAGGUGGUCAGGUAGAGUAUACCGAGGCGUUCGAGUGAAUCGUGGUUAAGGAACUCGGCAAAAUUCCUCCGUAACUUCGGGAUAAGGAGGACCCCGUGACUUGCUCCCACCGUGCGUGGGUGUUGGGUUGUGGGGUCGCAGAGAAUAGGGAGAAGCGACUGUUUAUCAAAAACACAGGUGCGUGCGAAGCCGUAAGGCGAUGUAUACGCACUGACGCCUGCCCGGUGCUGGAAGGUUAAGAGGAACCGUUAACAUUCUUUGUGGGUGUGAAGCGGUGAAUUUAAGCCCCAGUAAACGGCGGUGGUAACUAUAACCAUCCUAAGGUAGCGAAAUUCCUUGUCGGGUAAGUUCCGACCUGCACGAAUGGCGUAACGACUUCUCCGCUGUCUCAACCGCGAACUCGGUGAAAUUGCAGUACGAGUAAAGAUGCUCGUUUCGCGCAGAAGGACGGAAAGACCCCGGGACCUUUACUAUAGCUUGGUA